Molecule: ribosomal RNA, 253 nt
Filed under: uncultured bacterium
Lineage: Bacteria
Description: partial 16S ribosomal RNA
Rfam family: Bacterial small subunit ribosomal RNA
Source: RNAcentral
UACGAAGGUCCCAAGCGUUAUCCGGAUUUAUUGGGUUUAAAGGGUGCGUAGGCGGGCUAUUAAGUCAGCGGUGAAAGCCCCAAGCUUAACUUGGGAACUGCCAUUGAUACUGAUGGUCUUGAGUACAUUUGAGGUGGGCGGAAUGUGUCAUGUAGCGGUGAAAUGCUUAGAUAUGACACAGAACACCGAUUGCGAAGGCAGCUCACUAAACUGUAACUGACGCUGAGGCACGAAAGCGUGGGGAGCAAACAGG